RNAcentral lists this ribosomal RNA (191 nucleotides) under uncultured Staphylococcus sp. Its description in RNAcentral is "partial 16S ribosomal RNA". It matches the Rfam family "Bacterial small subunit ribosomal RNA", at positions 338 to 521 of the family's 1533-position model. The record is from RNAcentral. Lineage: Bacteria; Bacillati; Bacillota; Bacilli; Caryophanales; Staphylococcaceae.
CCUACGGGAGGCAGCAGUAGGGAAUCUUCCGCAAUGGACGAAAGUCUGACGGAGCAACGCCGCGUGAGUGAUGAAGGUUUUCGGAUCGUAAAACUCUGUUAUUAGGGAAGAACAAACGUGUAAGUAACUGUGCACGUCUUGACGGUACCUAAUCAGAAAGCCACGGCUAACUACGUGCCAGCAGCCGCGGU